AAAUUGGGGUGUAAAUUUGACCCUCAAAUCUGAACUUGUGGUAUAAGUGAUUGGUUGUUUUGGGUUUAAAAAGGAUGGGGCUAGUAUGAAUGGGAAUUUUUCUAGGCAUUUAAAGAGAGAGAGAGAGAGUAAUUUUUCUUUUUUUUUUUUAAAGUCGUUUUUGGAUUGACAAGCCAUUUGGUCUUGUCAUAUAUAUCUAAAGAUGUUAUCCUAGAUUUGAGUUAUGAUUUGAUUCAAUUGUAGGACGCCUAGAGAGGUUCUUGUAGACUGUCGACCCAAAACAAAACUGAAAAACUCUUAAUUUUUUGACUGAAAUAUCAAGUUAAAUCCAAUUUUUUGGGUUUUAAAAAAAAAGUUUUAAAUAACUUUCAACAACGGAUCUCUUGGUUCUCGCAUCGAUGAAGAACGCAGCGAAAUGCGAUACGUAAUGUGAAUUGCAGAUUUUGUGAAUCAUCGAAUCUUUGAACGCAUAUUGCACUCUUUGGUAUUCCGAAGAGUAUGCUUGUUUCAGUAUCAUGAAAAACGUCACAAGUUUUUAUUUGGUUUUUUAAUUAAGAAGCCAGAAAAAAAAGUGUGGAAUUGGAUUUGCGAUUCGAAUAUAUAGGAUUGCUAAUCUGAAAUAAAUUUCAUGAAGCCAAAAUGCUUUUAAUCUUUGCUUAAUAGUUUUGCUUUGCAAAUCUUUUGCAUGGAUUUAAGCAAAAGAGUGGAUUGAUUUUACGGAAAAGGGAAAUCUCAUUUUUUGAUCUGAAAUCAAGUAGG
Molecule: unclassified non-coding RNA, 759 nt
Filed under: Mucoromycotina sp. 5 KO-2013
Lineage: Eukaryota; Fungi; Mucoromycota
Description: partial contains ITS1, 5.8S rRNA and ITS2
Rfam family: 5.8S ribosomal RNA (bases 364-516)
Source: RNAcentral